CCUAACACAUGCAAGUCGAGCGAAGCAUUUAGAGUUAGCUUGCUAAUCUUUAUGACUGAGCGGCGAACGGGUGAGUAACACGUGGGUAAUCUACCUGAAAGUCUGGGAUAACAGUUCGAAAGGGCUACUAAUACCGGAUGACAUUGAUGAUGUAGAGUCAUCAAUCAAAGCGUUACGGAGCGCUUUCAGAUGAGCCCGCGUCCCAUUAGCUAGUUGGUAAGGUAAAGGCUUACCAAGGCAACGAUGGGUAGCCGGUCUGAGAGGAUGGUCGGCCACACUGGAACUGAGACACGGUCCAGACUCCUACGGGAGGCAGCAGUGGGGAAUAUUGCACAAUGGGCGCAAGCCUGAUGCAGCAACGCCGCGUGAGCGAUGAAGGCCUUCGGGUCGUAAAGCUCUGUCCUAAGGGAAGAUAUAGACGGUACCUUAGGAGGAAGCCCCGGCUAACUACGUGCCAGCAGCCGCGGUAAUACGUAGGGGGCAAGCGUUAUCCGGAAUUACUGGGCGUAAAGGGUGC
This 517-nucleotide ribosomal RNA is filed under the name uncultured bacterium. RNAcentral describes it as "bacterial SSU rRNA". It matches the Rfam family "Bacterial small subunit ribosomal RNA", at positions 47 to 570 of the family's 1533-position model. The record is from RNAcentral.